RNAcentral lists this long non-coding RNA (3904 nucleotides) under Venturia canescens. Its description in RNAcentral is "uncharacterized LOC122417818, transcript variant X5". The record is from RNAcentral. Lineage: Eukaryota; Metazoa; Arthropoda; Insecta; Hymenoptera; Ichneumonidae.
GAGUGGGAUCAGCUGUUUACAGCAGUCGACAAUGAUAAACGGAUCAAUCAACAAACCUACAUUUUAUACUAAUAUAUUUUAACGUUUUCCAAGUAGGCUAUCGAUCAGAUAAAAUUAACUGCCGGACUGAUUGAUCGCUACAAAAUAUUAAAAGUUUUAUCCCUUUUCACCAGCCAACAUGCUGAGGAUUCAUUAAAAUCAGUUAUAAGGAACGAAAACGUAGGCGAAAAAUACUGGAGCAAAAUGCAGGAUUACGAGCCUUGCCCGCGUUUCGCUCAUCAGCUGGUCUACAAUUACGUGAAAAAAGUUCACUAUUUGUUCGGUGGGAAUCCAGGUCGUUCUUGCUUACCGAAAUUACGUUCGACUACUUUUGGCAACUCCGCUCUGCCGACCAUCCCGCAAACAAAUAUUACGAAAAUGCAAAUUAAUCAUACGAAAAUAUAAGUUCGAAAAACUCGCCAUGACGGACAGCAUCGAGGCUCUCUAGUAUCUUCAAAAUGAAGUUUCCGAUAUCAUUGAUAACGAUAACGAGGAGCAAACCAAAGAGUUUCAACUACUGGCAUCCGUCACAUUCCGGGAACAGGAGGAAAAAACGCAAGAAAACUUCAUGUCCGUCGAACCGAAUUGUAUGGCAAGUUGACAGAAUUUUUUUCCGAAUUGCUCACGCAGCCUCGGGACAAUUUAAUUGAUUUAUUGCCAUUAUGAUGAACGAGUGAAACCGGGUAAUCGACAACUCAUUGGCGAUUGACAAUGAUCAAUUGAAUUUGGAGUAGAGGAGAUUAGUGAGCGGUUCAAAAGGAGCAGUCACUGCGUGGCUCAAGAAUGUCCAAAAUUAUUGCGCAAAGGUCUUCUGGAGUUGUUCCCUGGCUGUGUCGAAGUGGCCUCACCGCAGUUUACCAUUAUAACUGUUGAUCAAAAAUUAAAUGAUCAAAGUCACCUGUGGAGCAGGAAAAUGAAAACUGAGAAGCUGGCUAUAGUCUUACAUAAAUAUUCUUGUGAUUGGUGAUUCAUCAUUGGCGAAAUUUCAGCUGGAUUUUGCACUGUUUCAAGAGCUAUAGCAACAACCGGGCGAGGUUCGUUCGGGGCUGGUUUUAACAGCGGCUGGUACAUCCGAUCAAGAAGCUGGAGAACGUAGGUUGGAAGCUGGUGCUAUGGUUUUUAUGACUGCUGUAACUGCCAGCCAUUGAAUUACGAAGAUGCACAAUCCGAAGUUCAGCCUCCAUCCUUCUACAAGGACGCUUCAUCGUAAAUUCAAGCUGACUGGGCAUCUCUGGGAACAAUCAGUACUUGGGAGGAUGUUGUUGGUUAUCCAAUCGUUAACGUGAAAUCCGUACUCUGUUUUCAUCAAGGAAUGAAUGCAUUGAUGAGGAAUUCAUACAGAACUUUUUUAAAGAAACUUGUUGAAUAUAACCUCAAAAAUUGAUAUUCCAUUACUGAAUGUAUCGCAGUAAAAUACUUCCGAGAAAUUACAUCACACCUGUCAGCUUAGUCAAAGAUGAGUCUGAGUUCUUUGGCUUAGUGUUGUAUAGGCUAAAUAUUCUCGACGAAGCGCUGAAAACAUCUGACAAUUCGUACAAACUCAUCAAAUCCGAUACGAGCCUCUGCGUGAUCUGGAUGACAUAGAGCUGGCGUCAAUCCAAAUUGGGAAUUUAUUACCAAGGAGUGCAGGUCGUGGAUGGUUAGAUGCAACCAAAACAGCAUAUGUCGAAUGUCGUUCUCCAUCUGUCAGUGGUGACAAUGAGUUGCCAACCGAAUUCGCAGUACAGGAAAUUAGUGAGUGGUUCAAAAGAAGCAGUCACUGCGUGUCACUUCAAAAGAAUGUCCAACAUUGUAGCGCGAAGGUCCCCUGGAGUUGUUCCCUGGCUGUGUAGAAGUGGCCUCACCGCAGUUUACCAUUAUAACUGUUGGUAAAAAAUUAAAUUCUCAAAGUCAUCCAUGGAGCAGGGAAAUGGAAAUUGAGAAGCUGGCUAUAUUUUUUGUUCUGACAGCACCUGACACCUGCACGCAGUCUAAGAUGGGCGGUUAUUGGGCAGAUUUCAUAAAUAGCGGACAACCCUAUCUUAAUCUCCUCAAAAUUAGUACCUCAUACAAAACUGAUCAACGGUUCCGCUGCUUGGGCUUCAAAAUAGAGCAAAAGAAUCAUUAUCAAAUAAUAUCCAUUAAUAAUGAUCCGAGAGAGUUUCCCGGAAGUAUCUAUACAACCGUUUCUUCGAAUAUCGAGUUCCUCAAAGAAAGCCGCCUUAACGAUCAUCUAGGUCAGUCUCGUACCCUUUUGAAGAGAAUGUGAUACGAACCUGAUAGUUAGUCAACUAAAAUACAAGAAAUAUCAAGAGUUUACUUUAAUGGGCUCCGAGUAAUCAGGGGAUAAAAAUCAAGUAACGAUUCUUGCUGAAGUCUUGUGACAGCUGGAAAACGCAACGAGAUUCAUUGAACGGAAGUCCUGGUCAAUUUGAUGAUUUAGGUGUACCGUUUGUUUGCAGUAUAACUCCUCACUUAAAGAAUUUUAAUCAUACUCAGGAUAUCGUUGAUGCUAUUAUGAAACGGAAAGUAACUUUCGAUACAUUGAAGCUCGUUUGUGCGCUCAUCUCGACACUGUGGAUACCCCUUCCGAUGAUGGAAAGAAGUCAAAAGAGAUUUGAGAGGCAUCAAGGGUGACUUGAAAAGGCCGUUUGAAAAAGCAUGGAAAGGUUACGAUACCAAGUACGCAGAAAUGGAAAAGGAAUAGAAGCAACACCAAGUACCCAGAGGGUGACCUCAUCCGCUCGGAAGUUACACCCGCUGAAAUUGCUGACUAAAUGGAAAAAUUCGUUCGCAAAUGUCAAACGAUGGCCACACGAGAUUGACUAAAACUGCAAUAGAGUCAAUAGGGUUCUCGCGGAUAACAAAAAUGAUGCUCCUAACCAGAAAGUUGUACUGACCAAAGAUAUUGAACGUUUUCCCACCUAAAUGGAUAUUUAACUCGGUUAAAUAUCCAUGAGACCUCGGUUAAAGGCAUCGUCAAUGUUGAAGAGAAUGUUUGCUGAUUCCUCGGGAGAACGACAAAAAAAAAGGAUAAAUUUAUACCAAAUCCGCGAGAUUUGGCAAAGCGCUUCAAUUGGUCGAUGAAAUAAUUUAAUGGCAUCCUAGAUGCGAUCCAGGGCGAUUCGACGACGACGUCACUAGUAGCGGCAAAGUUAUCGGCAACUCCAAUGGCAAUUCGCAUGGGAACCUCGAGUGAUUGGACCGGUGGCUUAACGAGAUCCAAUCCAAAACAUAAUGCAAAAACCGUGAUGACGGGGAAAAGCGAAACUCGAGGACGAGGGAAUUGUUAAAACGGAGGUCUGAGUGAGAGAAGAUAAUACACGGAGACAACUUCAAAGACGGGCCAACGAACCCCAUUAUCGAGUGGAAGGACAGAGAGGAAAAACACGAUACAAAUAUGCGAAGCACUGUGAUACAUUACGAAAAAUGUAUUUACCAACGAGAAAGUCACCGAAAAUAAUACCAACGUAUAUACUCCAAUUGAUGCGCAAAUGAUAGACGCGUCAGUGGAGGAAACUUGAGAUCGACAACCUUCUUUACUCUCCAUUCUAUGAAUAUGGAUUUAUCUGUAUUUGUUAAUAAACUUGUAAUUCAUCGUAUCCAUAUACAUAUUCGAUAUAUACAAAUUCAUAACACCAUUUCCUUUCUUCUUUCGUUUGAUCUUUCAGCGAAAACGCAUUUAAAAAACGAAUGCGAAUAUGAAUUUGUCUGUAUUUGUUAAUAAACUUGUAAUUCAUCGUAUCCAUAUACAUAUUCGAUAUAUACAAAUUCGUAACACCAUUUCCUUUCUUCUUUCGUUUGAUCUUUCAGCGAAAACGCAUUUAAAAAACAAAUGCGAAUAUGGAUUUGUCUGUAUUUGUUAAUAAACUUGUAAUUCAUCGUA